Non-coding RNA from Triticum aestivum (bread wheat), 125 nucleotides. The record is from Rfam. Lineage: Eukaryota; Viridiplantae; Streptophyta; Magnoliopsida; Poales; Poaceae.
CUAGUACUCCCUCCGUCCGAAAAUACUUGUCGGAAAAAUGGAUGCAUCUAGACAUAUUUUAGUUCUAGAUACAUCCACUUUUAUCCAUUUAUGCGACAAGUAGUUCCGGACGGAAGGAGUACGUA